RNAcentral lists this long non-coding RNA (1787 nucleotides) under Salvia miltiorrhiza (redroot sage). RNAcentral's name for it is "long non-coding RNA (SMIL_LNC006885)". Lineage: Eukaryota; Viridiplantae; Streptophyta; Magnoliopsida; Lamiales; Lamiaceae. The record is from RNAcentral.
GCGUUCUUCUCUCUUUGCAUCGUCUCUCUCUUGUUCUUCCUAAAUCUACCAUUGUUGUGUUACUCCAUGGAUCAUCCCUUUGAAACCGAAUCGAUUGUGCCGGAAACCCCGGCCUCUGAUCUCUGUGAAUUGGCGCCGUGGUUGCUGGCUGAAACCGAGCCGCCGCACCUUCUUAUCUCUGAAUCGGAGAAAACGACGCCGGUAGCUGAAGCGGCGCCAUGGUUGCUGCCGGAUACUGAAGCGGCUCGUCUCCCUCUCUCUGAAUCGGAGCAGAUGUCGCCGGUAGCUGAAGCGGCGCCGUGGUUGCUGCCGGAUACUGAAGUGUCUCGCUUCCCUCUCUCUGAAUCGGAGCAGAUGUCGCCGGUAUCUGAAGCGGCGCCGUGGUUGCUGCCAGAAACUGAGCCGCCGCACCUCCCUCUCUCUGAAUCGGAGGAAUCUCUCUCUGAAUCACCGGACUAUGAUUCUGAUGGCUUCCAUCUCUCUGAACACAUCAGAGAGAGAGGGAAAAGACCGAUCGAAUUCAGUUUCGAAUUUAAAAAAUGAAUGAAACAUUUCUGCCUAUUAAAUUUGAAUUCAGUUUCAAAUUCCACAAAGUAAAAAUUAAUUAAUCAAUGAAACAUAAAAUUAAGACUUAAAUUGAAACAUAACAUUAAAUGAAAAGCUUAAAGUCAAUAAAGUAAAAGCAUUCUCUUAAGUAAAGAUUAGCAAAAAAGUAAACAACUACCCUUAUCUUUUCCUACAACACCUUUUUCAGCUUUCUUAAGCUCCGUGCCCAACUCCAAAUGGGGCUUUAAUUCGCGGAUGGAGGGAGUACCUGAUUUUUCAUUGAACGGGGACGGAUGCCGAUUUGAUGUCGACGCUAACCGCGAGGAAAAGGAGGGGGCUGACUGCCCUGCUCCCCUGGACUUCAAGAAGAGGGCGCAACGACCCUGUUCUGCCGCUCAUCGAAGGCUCAGAGAUAUAGGAGAGUACCCCUCGCCGGAGCCGUACAGUGCCCACGACUUUUGCCGAAGCCGAGGUGAGCCCCGGGCUCAACCCCGAGGAAGAGAAGGCGGAGGUCGUCGGGCUCAAAGAGGUUACUCCGCCUAAACCGAGAGGAAAAGAGAGGGAGGCUAGGGCUAACCGCGUCGGCAGGAGGUAGAGCUAGGGCUCAACGGAGAGGCGAUUUCCGGCCAAGGAAAGCGCGGCGGUGCUGUAAUGCUUAACAGCGGCGGCCUCGCCGGAACCGGAUGGGAGAAGUAGCAGAUUGAGUUUGAGAAGAGGAUUAGGGCUCCGUUUCGUUUCCAAUUGACAAUGUGUGUUUUCUGAAAUUUGGGGAUCGGGAGGAAAAGCACGAGAAAAGAGGACGGACGAAGGGCGUGACGGCAGGGAAGAUGAGGACGCCAAAUGGCCGUCGCCGGCGGCGCGGCUUUCAGAGGCGGCGACUUUCGAGAGAGAGAUCGCGAAACAGGGAGAGAAUGCGAGAAAGGAAUGGCGACAAUAGUUGAGAGAAGAAACGCCGGAUUUCAGAGUGGCGGAGGCGGCCGUUCGCCGGUGCUAAAAGAGUCAGCGGCGGCGACGAAUUUGGCAUGAAGAAGAGAGUGCUGAUCCUUUCAGUCGUUCCUGACUAAAAAAGAAGAGGUGGGCCUCUUGCUUGGGCUGAAUUUAUUCCUUAAGGUGGGCCGAAAUGUUGGGCUGGAUUUAAUUAGAAAAUGGCUUACUUAUUUCCUUAAAUGAGCCCAGGUUUGAGUAUUAAGUAGAGUGGACUGAUUAGAAUUUAUUAAAUUGGGCCUUUAUUAUUUCUCCUA